UUGACGGUAGAGUUUUUUGAUCACCCUGUGUUAUAAUUUCUUAUAUACGGUAAAUUUUAUCUUCCUAUUAUUUUUUAUUUUAGUUCAGAAAGUAUCUUUUUUAUUGCAGUGUGUUAUAGCCGUUUGUGUUUAGUUUUACAAACAAUCUUCAACGUUAUCCAGUUCUUGUUGGUUAAUGAGGAGAUCAUCCGGAUAAGUAUAAAAACGAGAUAAAUUAUUUCCUAUUUCUGUCUUUAUCAAUUGUACUUGGAUCGCUCGGACAUUAACCGGAUUUCGCACAUUACCCAUAACAUAUAUAUUUAUAUAAAAUAUAAAUUGGUUUAUCAUUUUGUCAUAUUGACAGUUUCGAAUAUUCUUUCUUUGAGAUGGAAAUAUCUCUCUAUAAUUCUGUCUUUAUUCAUGUGUUAUGGUGGCUAAAACUUAAGAUAAUAGUUUGUAAUUCUGGAAAUUUUAUUAUUAUGAAAUUGGAUAUAAACUCAAUUUAUCUUUAUAUAUGGAGUUUAUCGCACCACCAUUACCUCACUUUUUUUUCUCGGAAAUGCGAAGAAAUAGGAAGUAGGGAAAAAUUUUAAUGACCGAAUAUAUUCGUAGAAUCGAAUGGUCACAAUAAAAA
This 613-nucleotide long non-coding RNA is filed under the name Androctonus crassicauda. The record is from RNAcentral. Lineage: Eukaryota; Metazoa; Arthropoda; Arachnida; Scorpiones; Buthidae.